GUGGGGAAUAUUGGACAAUGGGCGAAAGCCUGAUCCAGCCAUGCCGCGUGUGUGAAGAAGGUCUUCGGAUUGUAAAGCACUUUAAGUUGGGAGGAAGGGCAGUAAGUUAAUACCUUGCUGUUUUGACGUUACCGACAGAAUAAGCACCGGCUAACUUCGUGCCAGCAGCCGCGGUAAUACGAAGGGUGCAAGCGUUAAUCGGAAUUACUGGGCGUAAAGCGCGCGUAAGUGGUUUUGUAAGUUGGUGGUGAAAUCCCCGGGCUCAACCUGGGAACUGCCUCCAAAACUGCAUGACUAGAGUACGGUAGAGGGUAGUGGAAUUUCCUGUGUAGCGGUGAAAUGCGUAGAUAUAGGAAGGAACACCAGUGGCGAAGGCGACUACCUGGACUGAUACUGACACUGAGGUGCGAAAGCGUGGGGAGCAAACAGGAUUAGAAACCCGAGUAGUCC
This 450-nucleotide ribosomal RNA is filed under the name uncultured bacterium. Its description in RNAcentral is "partial 16S ribosomal RNA". It matches the Rfam family "Bacterial small subunit ribosomal RNA", at positions 354 to 796 of the family's 1533-position model. The record is from RNAcentral.